RNAcentral lists this ribosomal RNA (497 nucleotides) under uncultured bacterium. RNAcentral describes it as "partial 16S ribosomal RNA". It matches the Rfam family "Bacterial small subunit ribosomal RNA", at positions 28 to 507 of the family's 1533-position model. The record is from RNAcentral.
GAUGAACGCUGGCGGCGUGCCUAAUACAUGCAAGUCGAGCGAACAGACGAGGAGCUUGCUCCUCUGACGUUAGCGGCGGACGGGUGAGUAACACGUGGAUAACCUACCUAUAAGACUGGGAUAACUUCGGGAAACCGGAGCUAAUACCGGAUAAUAUAUUGAACCGCAUGGUUCAAUAGUGAAAGACGGUUUUGCUGUCACUUAUAGAUGGAUCCGCGCCGCUUUAGCUAGUUGGUAAGGUAACGGCUUACCAAGGCAACGAUGCGUAGCCGACCUGAGAAGGAGAACGGCCGCUCUGGAUCUGGGGCACGGUCCAGACUCCUAAGGGGGGCAGCAGUAGGGAAUCUUCAGCAAUGGGCGAAAGCCUGACGGAGCAACGCCGCGUGAGUGAUGAAGGUCUUCGGAUCGUAAAACUCUGUUAUUAGGGUAGAACAAAUGUGUAAGUGACUAUGCACGUCUUGACGGUACCUAAACAGAAAGCCACGGCUAACUACGAG